GAUGAACGCUGGCGGCGUGCCUAAUACAUGCAAGUCGAGCGAACAGACGAGGAGCUUGCUCCUCUGACGUUAGCGGCGGACGGGUGAGUAACACGUGGAUAACCUACCUAUAAGACUGGGAUAACUUCGGGAAACCGGAGCUAAUACCGGAUAAUAUAUUGAACCGCAUGGUUCAAUAGUGAAAGACGGUUUUGCUGUCACUUAUAGAUGGAUCCGCGCCGCAUUAGCUAGUUGGUAAGGUAACGGCUUACCAAGGCAACGAUGCGUAGCCGACCUGAGAGGGUGAUCGGCCACACUGGAACUGAGACACGGUCCAGACUCCUACGGGAGGCAGCAGUAGGGAAUCUUCCGCAAUGGGCGAAAGCUUGACGGAGCAACGCCGCGUGAGUGAUGAAGGUCUUCGGAUCGUAAAACUCUGUUAUUAGGGAAGAACAAAUGUGUAAGUAACUAUGCACGUCUUGACGGUACCUAAUCAGAAAGCCACGGCUAACUACG
RNAcentral lists this ribosomal RNA (495 nucleotides) under uncultured bacterium. RNAcentral describes it as "partial 16S ribosomal RNA". It matches the Rfam family "Bacterial small subunit ribosomal RNA", at positions 28 to 505 of the family's 1533-position model. The record is from RNAcentral.